GAUGAACGCUGGCGGCGUGCCUAAUACAUGCAAGUCGAACGCAUUGUGGUUGAAAUGAUAUGAAGAACUUGUUCAGAUUUGAUUUUCAACAUUGCAAUGAGUGGCGAACGGGUGAGUAACACGUGGGAAACCUACCUCUUAGCAGGGGAUAACAUUUGGAAACAAAUGCUAAUACCGUAUAAUAAUUAAAACCGCAUGGUUUUAGUUUAAAAGAUGGUCUUGCUAUCACUAAGAGAUGGUCCCGCGGUGUAUUAGUUAGUUGGUGAGGUAAUGGCUCACCAAGACAAUGAUACAUAGCCGAGUUGAGAGACUGACCGGCCACAAUGGGACUGAGACACGGCCCAUACUCCUACGGGAGGCAGCAGUAGGGAAUCUUCCACCAAUGGACGAAAGUCUGAUGGAGCAACGACCGCGUGUGUGAUGAAGGGUUUCGGCUCGU
Molecule: ribosomal RNA, 439 nt
Filed under: uncultured bacterium
Lineage: Bacteria
Description: bacterial SSU rRNA
Rfam family: Bacterial small subunit ribosomal RNA
Source: RNAcentral